This 321-nucleotide ribosomal RNA is filed under the name Triticum aestivum (bread wheat). Its description in RNAcentral is "partial small subunit ribosomal RNA". Lineage: Eukaryota; Viridiplantae; Streptophyta; Magnoliopsida; Poales; Poaceae. The record is from RNAcentral.
AUGGUCAACACGUGGGGCAUCGGGAGGGAUAAAGAGUCAUGGGAGAAUGCCGAGGAGUUCCGGCUAGAAAGGUUCCUGGGCGGAACCAUCGACUACAAUGGAAAGGACCCCCGGUUCCUACCGUUCGGCACAGGGAGGAGGGGGUCCCCCGGUAUGGCCUUUGGGACGCGCCUCGCAGAGCUCACGUUGGCUAACAUGUUGUACCAUUUCGACUGGGAGCUGCCGAGUGGUCAACAUCCAGAGUCGUUUGAGGUUGUCGAGGCUAGCGGGGUGUCGCCUGGCCUUAAGUCUGUCUUGAUCAUUGCCAUAAAACCUUUAUAA